GGGUCAGUAGGUUGGUCGUGCCACCGGUACGUACUGGUCUCACUGAUUCCUCCUUCCUGAAGAACCGUAAUGCCAUUAAUUUGGUGUUGCGGGGAAACAGGACUGUUACUUUGAAAAGAUUAGAGUGUUUAAAGCAGGCUAACGCUUGAAUACAUUAGCAUGGAAUAAUGAAAUAGGACGAUCGAUCCUAUUUUGUUGGUUUCUAGGAUUGACGUA
RNAcentral lists this ribosomal RNA (216 nucleotides) under Glomeromycotina sp. Its description in RNAcentral is "partial small subunit ribosomal RNA". The stretch from base 40 to 216 matches the Rfam family "Eukaryotic small subunit ribosomal RNA", at positions 686 to 864 of the family's 1831-position model. Lineage: Eukaryota; Fungi; Glomeromycota. The record is from RNAcentral.